RNAcentral lists this ribosomal RNA (253 nucleotides) under uncultured bacterium. RNAcentral's name for it is "partial 16S ribosomal RNA". It matches the Rfam family "Bacterial small subunit ribosomal RNA", at positions 524 to 776 of the family's 1533-position model. The record is from RNAcentral.
UACAGAGGUCUCAAGCGUUGUUCGGAUUCAUUGGGCGUAAAGGGUGCGUAGGUGGCGAGGCAAGUCGGGUGUGAAAUCCCGGGGCUUAACCCCGGAACUGCAUUCGAUACUGCCUUGCUCGAGUACUGGAGAGGAGACUGGAAUUUACGGUGUAGCAGUGAAAUGCGUAGAUAUCGUAAGGAAGACCAGUGGCGAAGGCGAGUCUCUGGACAGUUACUGACACUGAGGCACGAAGGCCAGGGGAGCAAACGGG